RNAcentral lists this transfer RNA (68 nucleotides) under Cyrtodactylus russelli. Its description in RNAcentral is "tRNA-Ala". The record is from RNAcentral. Lineage: Eukaryota; Metazoa; Chordata; Lepidosauria; Squamata; Gekkonidae.
GUAGGCCUUAGCUUAAUUAAAGUGUCUGAGUUGCAGUCAGAAGAUGUAAUGUUUGGUUUGCAGGUCUU